CUACAGGAAGUGACUGAUCAAACAGGAAGUGCCCUGCCUAUAAAGGAAGCAGGAAGUUGAGGGUUCCUUCUUUGAUCUUCAAGGCUGCACACAGCAGGCAGCAACAGAAAUUUUUCACUUCUUCUUCAAUCUGGUGAAUAAAUCCAAAGAGUCACUAACAUCCUGACUCACUCAUCGUUGAAUGGAGUUUGUCUGACUGUUAACCUACCUGCACCAAACACGUGGAGGACUGUACACACACCUGUGGAGGAUGUAGAGGACCAGCUCUUUGCUUCCUGCACUGGCAGCGUGAUGACGUCAACUGCAGCCGGACGAGUCGAGUGCGGCUCCCUUCAGGUGGGGCUCCCUUCAGGUGGGGCUCCCUCCAGGUGCGGCUCCCUCCAGGUGGGGCUCCCUCCAGGUGGGGCUCCCUUCAGGUGCGGCUCCUGCAGCUGAUGAUUCAAUUCAAAGACACAUGGGCAGCCUGACCAAAACAAGAUGACGAGCUGUUAGCAUGUCUGCUACACCACGCUGCCUCACCUGCUUCAUUCAACAUUUGGUGUUUCCUCGCUCUGAAGAGUAGGAUCUGUGCUGCAACUGGAAGGAGUUUCUUCGGAUUAAAGUUUACCUGUUAGCCCUUGUUUUUUUAUCUUUCAGCUAUAGUUUUGUUUAAUUUUCAUUUGCAGUUCUCUCUGAAGACACUUUGAUAAUAAAAUGUUCAAGUCUUAAUUUGU
Molecule: long non-coding RNA, 713 nt
Organism: Labrus bergylta (ballan wrasse)
Lineage: Eukaryota; Metazoa; Chordata; Actinopteri; Labriformes; Labridae
Source: RefSeq, a predicted model, not a curated record